UGCGUAGGGUGCAAGCGUUGUCCGGAAUUAUUGGGCGUAAAGAGCUCGUAGGCGGUUUGUCGCGUCGGCUGUGAAAACUCGGGGCUCAACCCCGAGCCUGCGGUCGAUACGGGCAAACUAGAGUGCUGUAGGGGAGACUGGAAUUCCUGGUGUAGCGGUGAAAUGCGCAGAUAUCAGGAGGAACACCGGUGGCGAAGGCGGCCUACUGGGCCAGCACUGACGCUGAGGCGCGAAAGCUCGGGGAGCGAACGGG
Molecule: ribosomal RNA, 253 nt
Filed under: uncultured bacterium
Lineage: Bacteria
Description: partial 16S ribosomal RNA
Rfam family: Bacterial small subunit ribosomal RNA
Source: RNAcentral